This 262-nucleotide ribosomal RNA is filed under the name uncultured bacterium. RNAcentral describes it as "partial 16S ribosomal RNA". It matches the Rfam family "Bacterial small subunit ribosomal RNA", at positions 526 to 779 of the family's 1533-position model. The record is from RNAcentral.
CGUAGGGUGCGAGCGUUAUCCGGAAUUAUUGGGCGUAAAGAGCUCGUAGGCGGUUUGUCGCGUCUGUCCGUGAAAGUCCGGGGCUUAAACCCCGGAGUCUGCGGUGGGUACGGGCGAGACUAGAGUGCAGUAGGGGAGGACUGGAAUUCCUGGUGUAGCGGUGGAAUAGCGCAGAUAUCAGGAGGAACACCGAUGGCGAAGGCAGGUCUCUGGGCGUGUAACUGACGCUGAGGAGCGAAAGACAUGGGGAGCGAACAGGAUU